This 877-nucleotide non-coding RNA is filed under the name Pseudunio marocanus. The record is from RNAcentral. Lineage: Eukaryota; Metazoa; Mollusca; Bivalvia; Unionida; Margaritiferidae.
CGAGUACUCCGUUCUGAUACCAAAUUAGCACCAGCCCCUAAACUUCAUAUGGUAACUCACAUGCAUUGUGAAUAAGCUCCACGUACUUUACAAAUCACUAUUAAACAUAGUGCGUGACUCCCACAAUUAUACUGGGGCGGGAUAACCUCAUAGGUUAACCCAAGAUAAUUAUUAUACUUCCACAACACCAAUGACUUAAUUUGCAACAGCUAGGUAACUAGGCCACAGAGGUAGCUCACAAAAGUGACCAAGAGGGUGCCAGCAGUCGCGGUUAAACCUUCACUUUAAGCUAAUUUCCAACAACUCAAGGGAAAUAUAACAACCACGACUACAUCCCCUACCCAAGAGGUAAAAUUCAAAGCUAAAGGGCAUACCCACUCAAGUCCUCAUGACACCCCAACAAACCAUCCCACAAAACAGGGAUUAGAUACCCCACUAUUGCAUGGCCCAACACAAUAAAUACUAAAAACGAAAGUUUAAAACUUAAAGAAUCGUGGCGAUGUUCUAUCCCAUAUUAGGGGAUCCUGUGCCUUUAUCCGAUAAUCCACGAAAAUCUAAGCUUUAUUAGCCCGCACAGCUUGUGUAUGGCCGUUUACGCUUGCUCACCCCAAAGACACAAAAGGAAGCAAAAAGAAAUAAUAACCCGGUAAUUCAGGUGACAUACAGCCCAUAUAAAGCAGGCCAUGGGAUACAAAUAAACAACAUUACCCGAAAGUAAGAGGAAUCUCUCACCUUAAGGAGGACUUAAUAGUAAGGCCACAACAACAAUCUGACCUGAACACGACCUAGAACACGCACAAAUCGCCCGUCACUCCCGCACCAAAUCAAAGCGGGAUAAGUCGUAACACAGUUGGGGUAAUGGAAAUUGCCCCUACCA